UGUCAAACCGUAUAGGGUCCAGAGUUUUCCUAGUUAGGUUAACAUAUAAGGAAAAACUCCACGCCCCAGGGGGUAAAAAUUGCCCCACCGCUCUGGGACCUUGCAGUUGUCAGUUAUCAUCAGCUAAGUCCUCUCCUGUUCCCUGAUUAUUAAGAGGUGAUGACUACUCCACUCCACUACCUUUGUCAACUUUCUCCUGACAUGAACUGAAGCCAUGUCAAAUCCUGUCCUGCACUGGUCAAGCCUCUGAACACCUCAACUCAUGCCUCAUACCCUCAUUCAAUCACUGCUGUGAUCCCUUUCCAACACGGUUCGCCUCCAAAGCUGUUUUAAAGAAUUUGGCAGUACGUCCAACCGACCUCACAACCGCAGACCACGUGUAACCACGCCAGGCCAGGACCUCCACCUUCUUCAGCUGAGGGACCAUAUGAGACCAUCCACCCGGACAGCUGAUGAAACUGAGGAGAAUUUACGUCUGUAAUAAUGCCCUUUUGUGGGGAAAAACUAAUGUUGAUUGGCUGGGCCCUGUUCCCCACUGGUUGGGCCUAGAGCCCAAGUGGGUGGGCCUAUGCCCUCCCAGGGCCACCCGUGGUGGCGGCCAUGCCCAGGAAUGUGAAAUGCAUAGAUAAGGGCCUAAUUAAUUGAUUUCAACUGACUGAUUUCCUUAUAUAAACUGUAACUCAGUAAAAUCA
Molecule: long non-coding RNA, 692 nt
Organism: Oncorhynchus tshawytscha (Chinook salmon)
Lineage: Eukaryota; Metazoa; Chordata; Actinopteri; Salmoniformes; Salmonidae
Source: Ensembl